AGAAGACCACUGACGAGUGAGUAGACAUCCAAAUAGUUUCUCGUAUUGAUCAUGCUCAGUAUAAGUUAUUCUCUAACAACCACCUGCACUUUCAUCAUAGUGUUCCUGCACCACAGACUUAAGACUCAUCUGUUCAGAAGAGAAGUGAUCCAUGCACCGAUCUUAAAUAGAUUGAUUGCUAUCCUCCGGGAUGAUCCUA
Molecule: long non-coding RNA, 199 nt
Filed under: Elaeis guineensis (African oil palm)
Lineage: Eukaryota; Viridiplantae; Streptophyta; Magnoliopsida; Arecales; Arecaceae
Description: long non-coding RNA (EGUI_LNC014441)
Source: RNAcentral